RNAcentral lists this ribosomal RNA (407 nucleotides) under uncultured bacterium. RNAcentral describes it as "bacterial SSU rRNA". It matches the Rfam family "Bacterial small subunit ribosomal RNA", at positions 966 to 1375 of the family's 1533-position model. The record is from RNAcentral.
CCUAAGCUUGACAUGGGGAUGAAAAGCGAUGUGAAGUCGUAAUAGUAGCUUGCUACACAUCCCACACAGGUGGUGCAUGGUUGUCGUCAGCUCGCGUCGUGAGAUGUUGGGUUAAGUCCCGCAACGAGCGCAACCCCUAUUAAUAGUUGCCAGUGCGUAAAGGCAGGCACUCUAGUAAGACAGUUAGGGAUAACCUAAAGGAAGGUGGGGAUGACGUCAAAUCAUCAUGCCCCUUAUGCUUAGGGCUACACACGUGCUACAAUGGCCGUAACAAGGAGAAGCGAAUCUGUGAAGAAGAGCAAACCUGAAAAAAACGGUCUAAGUUCGGAUUGUAGGCUGAAACUCGCCUACAUGAAGUCGGAGUUACUAGUAAUCGCAAAUCAGAAUGUUGCGGUGAAUGCGUUCCC